This 58-nucleotide transfer RNA is filed under the name Salmo salar (Atlantic salmon). It matches the Rfam family "tRNA", at positions 8 to 63 of the family's 71-position model. Rfam says of the family: Transfer RNA (tRNA) molecules are approximately 80 nucleotides in length. Their secondary structure includes four short double-helical elements and three loops (D, anti-codon, and T loops). Further hydrogen bonds mediate the characteristic L-shaped molecular structure. tRNAs have two regions of fundamental functional importance: the anti-codon, which is responsible for specific mRNA codon recognition, and the 3' end, to which the tRNAs corresponding amino acid is attached (by aminoacyl-tRNA synthetases). tRNAs cope with the degeneracy of the genetic code in two manners: having more than one tRNA (with a specific anti-codon) for a particular amino acid; and 'wobble' base-pairing, i.e. permitting non-standard base-pairing at the 3rd anti-codon position. The record is from Rfam by way of RNAcentral. Lineage: Eukaryota; Metazoa; Chordata; Actinopteri; Salmoniformes; Salmonidae.
UGGCUCAGUUGGUAGAGCAUGGUGUUUGCAAUGCCAGGGUUCUGGGUUCGAUUCCCAC